Molecule: ribosomal RNA, 253 nt
Filed under: uncultured bacterium
Lineage: Bacteria
Description: partial 16S ribosomal RNA
Rfam family: Bacterial small subunit ribosomal RNA
Source: RNAcentral
UACGAAGGGAGCUAGCGUUGUUCGGAAUCACUGGGCGUAAAGCGCACGUAGGCGGAUGUGUCAGUCAGGGGUGAAAUCCCGGAGCUCAACUUCGGAACUGCCUUUGAUACAGCACGUCUUGAGUCCGGAAGAGGUGGGUGGAAUUCCUAGUGUAGAGGUGAAAUUCGUAGAUAUUAGGAAGAACACCGGUGGUGAAGGCGGCCCACUGGUCCGGUACUGACGCUGAGGUGCGAAAGCGUGGGGAGCAAACAGG